AACGCACAUUGCGCCCGCUAGUAUUCUGGCGGGCAUGCCUGUUCGAGCGUCAUUUCAACCAUCAAGCCCCAGGCUUGCGUUGGAGCCCUGCGGCUGCCGCAGGCUCCCAAAUCCAGUGGCGGGCUCGUCGUCGUACCGAGUGCAGUAAACAUCCUCGCUCAGGGAACGCGUCGGGUUCUUGCCGUGAAACCCCCCCUAUAUCAAGGUUGACCUCGGAUCAGGUAGGAAUACCCGCUGAACUUAA
This 244-nucleotide unclassified non-coding RNA is filed under the name uncultured Lasiosphaeriaceae. RNAcentral describes it as "sequence contains ITS2". The record is from RNAcentral. Lineage: Eukaryota; Fungi; Ascomycota; Sordariomycetes; Sordariales; Lasiosphaeriaceae.